Molecule: ribosomal RNA, 254 nt
Filed under: uncultured soil bacterium
Lineage: Bacteria
Description: partial 16S ribosomal RNA
Rfam family: Bacterial small subunit ribosomal RNA
Source: RNAcentral
AGGACGAACGCUGGCGGCGUGCUUAACACAUGCAAGUCGAGCGGAAAGGCCACUUCGGUGGUACUCGAGCGGCGAACGGGUGAGUAACACGUGAGUAAUCUGCCCUCCACUUUGGGAUAGCCACCGGAAACGGUGAUUAAUACCGGAUAUGACCUCGCAUCGCAUGGUGUGUGGUGGAAAGUUUUUCGGUGGGGAUGUGCUCGCGGCCUAUCAGCUUGAUGGUGGGUAAUGGCCUACCAUGGCUUCGACGGGUA